CUAUCCCAGAGCAGGUAAACGUGAAAGUGAAAUUACGGGUAGGUCCGAAACCACGAGCGUUGUAAAGCCCGGGGAUGACGUGUGUGUUGCUGUGUAAUUCAAAUCGAGCCCGGAGAGAGCUGGUUCUCCCCGAAAUAGCGUUAGUGAUAGCAUAAAGGUGAGAGAUACUGAGGUAGAGCACUGAAUGUCCUAGGGGGUAUUGCACCUACCGAAGACUAUCAAACUCCGAAU
This 231-nucleotide ribosomal RNA is filed under the name Clostridioides difficile. RNAcentral's name for it is "partial 23S ribosomal RNA". It matches the Rfam family "Bacterial large subunit ribosomal RNA", at positions 730 to 961 of the family's 2925-position model. Lineage: Bacteria; Bacillati; Bacillota; Clostridia; Peptostreptococcales; Peptostreptococcaceae. The record is from RNAcentral.